CAUAGCGCUAAGAGGGGGAGCAAACAUAUGCCAUAUAUGCCAGGUCCCUUGAAACAUAAGCUGUGCAUAUGUUUCUUACCUGCAGCGACUGUGUUAAGCAGCAAGGGUGGACCGGCUUCCAGCAUGAAUAGAGAGAGAGAGAGAA
Long non-coding RNA from Myotis brandtii (Brandt's bat), 145 nucleotides. RefSeq lists it as uncharacterized. The transcript is spliced from 3 exons. The record is from RefSeq and is a predicted model, not a curated record. NCBI's taxonomy places the organism in Eukaryota, Metazoa, Chordata, Mammalia, Chiroptera, Vespertilionidae.